GGACACAGGGAUACAGGAAAUAGAGGGAACAGAGGGGACAGAGGGGACACUCGGAACAGAGGGGAUACAGGGGACACAGGGACACAGGGGGCACAGGGGACACAGGGAAUAGAGGGAGCAGAGAGGACACAGGGACACAGGGAAUAGAGGGGACAGAGGGGACAUGGAAUACAGAGACACAUGGAAUUGAGGGAACAGAGGGGACACAGGGGACAAAGGGAAUAGAGGGGACAGAGGGGACACAGGGAAUAGAGGGGACACACGGAACACAGGGAAUAGAGGGGACACAGGGGACACAGGGGACACAGGGAAUAGAGGGGACACACGGAACAUGGAACCCAGGGGACACCGGGAACAAUCUUCCCCCUGCCCUGCUCCUGGUUUAGCUCUGCCUGCUCUCCUGCCCUCGGGGCUGUGUCCAGGUGCCCUCCCCCAGGACCCUGGCAGGCUCCAGGGCCAGCUGGCAGUGCCUGCAGGCUGCAGCCAGCCCGGGCUCUCAUGUGCCACCUGUGUGCCAUCUCCUCUGGGAGCUGCCCGGGGGAGCCGUGCCAUCACCGUGGGCAUUGCCUGCAGCCCAAUCCAUGGAUUUACUGCGGCUCUUUAGCCUCAGCCUGGGGAAGGGAUGCUGGUUCAGAGCCUUUCAAAGGCCCCUGGGGUUACUGGCCCAAUUUCUGGCCACGGCUCCCUGGGAGCUGCUGCUGCAGGCCCUGAACUCUGCUGGGCACCGACCCUGCUUCAGCUGAAAAGGAGCAAUUGUCCCAAUUCCCGCAGUGACUGUCCCAGCCUGCCGAAAUCAAAGGGAUGUCUGAGUGCUCCCCUGCCUGUGGGGAAAGCAGGAGCAGGUUAGGCACAGGAGGGGAGGUUUAGAUUGGGAAUUAGGAAGUAUUUUACUGCAGGGCUGAGGAGGCCCAGGAACAGAGAGGCUGUGGACAUCCCUGGCAGUGCCCAAGGCCAGGCUGGACAGGGCUGGGAGCAGCCUGGGACACUGCAAGGUGUCCCUGCCCAUGGCAGGGGUGUCACUGGAGGAGCUUUAAGGUAAUUUCCAAGCCAAACCAUGGUGGGAUUCUCAGAUUCCAGGUGCUGCCAGCCUGGUCUGGAAUUCCCCAGAUUUGCACAAGCAGCUGGAGCAGGAGCUGUGGGGCUGCUGCUUCCUCAGCCUCUCAGGAGAUCCUUUUCCUUACAGCUGAGAUGGGUGUGAAGGAUUCCCCACUCCUGAGAAUCACCUUGGCUGUUGUCACAACACUUCUGUGCUGCCACGGCCACCUUUCCCAGAGGCUGCUGGCACAGCCUGGCUGGGAUCUGCUCCCUGUUGGAGGAUCUGCUCCCUGUUUGCUGGAGGAUCUGCUCCCUGUUGGAGGAUCUGCUCCCUGUUUGUUGGAGGAUCUGCUCCCUGUUUGCUGGAGGAUCUGCUCCCUUUUGCAGGAUUUGCUCCCUUUUGGAGGAUCUGCUCCCUUUGUUGGAGGAUCUGCUCCCUUUUGGAGGAUCUGCUCCCUUUGUUGGAGGAUCUGCUCCCUUUUGAAGGAUCUGCUCCCUGUUGGAGGCUCUCUCACCCUCACUCCCUCUCUGUUCCCUCCCCCCUCCUGCCCUGCCUUUAAUGAAUGACUUGUUGUGUAAA
Haemorhous mexicanus (house finch) is the source of this 1615-nucleotide long non-coding RNA. RefSeq lists it as uncharacterized. NCBI's taxonomy places the organism in Eukaryota, Metazoa, Chordata, Aves, Passeriformes, Fringillidae. The transcript has 2 exons. The record is from RefSeq and is a predicted model, not a curated record.